GAGGUGGGUCCUCCAUGCCCAGGCCCUGUCUCACCCGCUGAGGCAGAGAACGAGGCCAGGAUAAAAGGCUCCAGAGAGACACCUCCACACUCACCUCCCCAGGAGCCCACACCCGCCUGCCCGUGACCACACUCCUGAACACCCUCCUGCCAGGAUGUCCUGCCAGCAGAGCCAGCAGCAGUGCCAGCCCCCUCCCAAGUGCCCCCCCAAGUGCCCUCAAAAGUGCCAGGCCCCCAAGUGCCCCCCAAAGUGCCCCCCUAAGUGCCCUCCAGCCCCUUCCUGCUGCAGCGUCAGCUCCGGGGGCUGCUGCAGCUCUGGGGGUGGGGGCUGCUGUGGCUCCAGCUCUGGGGGUGGGGGCUGCUGUGGCUCCAGCUCUGGGGGCUGCUGCAGCUCUGGGGGUGGGGGCUGCUGCCUGAGCCACCACAGGCCCCGCAGGUCCCACCGCCACAGGCAGAGCUCUGGCUGCUGCAGCCAGCCCUCAGGGGGCUCGGGCUGCUGUGGAGGGGGCAGCAGCCAGCAGUCUGGAGGCUGCUGCUGAAGUGCCCUUGACUUGGUCUUCCUCCAGAGGCUACAGGAAGUGCUGAGAGGCUUAGGGAAAGCUUGGGUCUGGCCAGGAGCAUCUGUCCAGCCUGGUGGGCACAAGCCAAAUUCUUUCUCCUCACAUGCUGGGAACCACCGUCUCCUGUCUGUGCUGUCCACCUGAAGCCCUGGCCCAGUCUCACACGGCAUCUGUCAUUCUGCUCUGUUGGCUGAAUUGAAAUAAUAAAAUCUGAAGUCUGUUCCCAGCUGA
Molecule: non-coding RNA, 790 nt
Organism: Ictidomys tridecemlineatus (thirteen-lined ground squirrel)
Lineage: Eukaryota; Metazoa; Chordata; Mammalia; Rodentia; Sciuridae
Source: RefSeq, a predicted model, not a curated record